RNAcentral lists this ribosomal RNA (433 nucleotides) under uncultured bacterium. RNAcentral describes it as "partial 16S ribosomal RNA". It matches the Rfam family "Bacterial small subunit ribosomal RNA", at positions 29 to 507 of the family's 1533-position model. The record is from RNAcentral.
AACGAACGCUGGCGGCAUGCCUAACACAUGCCAGUCGAACGAGACCUUCGGGUCUAGUGGCGCACGGGUGCGUAACGCGUGGGAACCUGCCCUUAGGUUCGGAAUAACUCCCCGAAAGGGGUGCUAAUACCGGAUAAUGUCUUCGGACCAAAGAUUUAUCGCCUUUGGAUGGGCCCGCGUUGGAUUAGCUAGUUGGUAGGGUAAAAGCCUACCAAGGCGACGAUCCAUAGCUGGUCUGAGAGGAUGAUCAGCCACACUGGGACUGAGACACGGCCCAGACUCCUACGGGAGGCAGCAGUGGGGAAUAUUGGACAAUGGGCGAAAGCCUGAUCCAGCAAUGCCGCGUGAGUGAUGAAGGCCUUAGGGUUGUAAAGCUUUUUUACCCGGGAUGAUAAUGACAGUACCGGGAGAAUAAGCUCCGGCUAACUCCGUG